AGCAUUUUUACAGCAGCGAUUCACCUCCCAGUCACAUCAGCGUUCUAUUGCAGAGAGAGACAGAGAGCAGUGUGUUGCACAGAAAAGCUUUUUGACAGCAGCGAUUCACCUCAAGCCCAAAUCCAGCCUAGAAGCACUUAUCGGAAAGGGAGUGAGAUUAAGAAAGAAAGUGCAGCAUUGGUGUGUACAACAACUGAAAAACUAAUAGUAGCCAGCCAGAUAGGUCUUCUUUCUCCUGCAUUAUAGAGACAUUGUGGUGAAGACUUAUUUUUUUCAUUCUAAAACAUUUGAUUUCUGCUUUCAAAGCCAGUAACCCAAAUCUGUGGAAACAUCUCUGACUAAUGUAAUGGAAACCUUACUUUUUAAUGCCACAAUUGUUAGUUCCACUUUCUCAAAACCUGGCAAACCUGAUGUUUCAAGUCCAAAUCUAGCCUAGUUGGCAAGGAACAGAGACACAAAGCCUGAAGAAAAGGGGACCCAAGUCUUCGACUACCAAAGGAAAGUCACAAAACACCCAAGGUUCCUUUUUUAGGGACAGAGAGACACACCACGCCAGAGAGAAGCGACAUGCAAGAAGAGGGGGCCGCAACUGAAGAAAAGAAAACCACUCGGGGCAAAGAGGGGGCAGAAUGGGGACCAACAAGUAGAGGGAUCUUGUAACGAACAGAGCCUUGUGUAUUUUCGGGACACAUUAUGAUUUGUAUUUACAUGGAACCCCAAUGGACACUCUACAACACGAUUGCAGUAUCUGCUGAAGCUCAAGAACACUAUAGUGUGAGAAUUUUCCAGUUGAUGUUUUUCUUGGAAGACAGAGGACCAUCUGCCACACCAAGCGCAAUACUUUGUU
Molecule: long non-coding RNA, 847 nt
Organism: Hyla sarda
Lineage: Eukaryota; Metazoa; Chordata; Amphibia; Anura; Hylidae
Exons: 3
Source: RefSeq, a predicted model, not a curated record